Solanum tuberosum (potato) is the source of this 1001-nucleotide long non-coding RNA. RefSeq lists it as uncharacterized. The transcript has 3 exons. The record is from RefSeq and is a predicted model, not a curated record. Lineage: Eukaryota; Viridiplantae; Streptophyta; Magnoliopsida; Solanales; Solanaceae.
UUUUGAUGGUCGAAUACAUAGUGAAAUUGGAAGAUUGAGUAAUCUGCAGUUCUUGUAUCUCAGAUAUAACCAUUUCACAGGGAUAAUUCCACAAGAAAUCGGAAAUCUUGUUAAUUUGAUGGAAUUAGACAUGGGGGGAAACCAGAUUACCGACUCUAUCCCGAUCUCCAUAUUCAAUAUCUCAUUGCUGCAAUCAUUGAUACUGUGGGGCAACAAUCUUAGUGGAUUCUUACCAAGGGAGAUUGGCAACUUAACCAAGAUGCAAUUUUUAUAUCUUAACGACAAUAGGCUAACUAGUGAAAUACCCAACGAGAUAAGCAAUCUCGUUGAGUUGGAGGUAUUUGAUGUUGGGUUUAAUAGUUUUAGUGGUUCACUUCCAAUGGAGAUAUUCAACAUAUCACGACUGAGAACAAUUCAACUUUCAGCCAACAUCUAUCAGGAACUCUACCACCAAACAUAGGUUCUACCUUACCCAACAUUGAACAGCUUUAUAUGGGUCGCUUAACCAAUCUUGUUGGAACUAUUCCUCAUUCUAUCUCCAAUUGUUCAAAGCUUCCUGAUCUAGAGCUUUCACAAAACAAACUCAGUGGCUUAAUACCCCAAUUCUCUUGGAUAUUUGACUCAUCUAAACUUCCUAAACUUGCAGAGAAACAAUUUAAAUAGUGAUUCAUUGUUAAGCCUCCUCACUUCCUUAACCAAUUGCAGAAAUUUAACAUCUCUUUAUCUAACUUUGAACCCUCUAAAUGGCAUGCUUCUGGUCUCCGUAGGGAACUUCUCCAAAUCUCUUGUAAAGUUUUAUGCCGCUGCUUGCAAGAUUAACGGCCAGAUUCCAAAUGAAGUUGGAAACUUAAGCAGCUUAUUUGACCUUGACCUUUCUGAUAAUAACUUGAUUGGAUCAAUUCCUAUAUCAACUCAUAACUUGAGAAACCUUCAACGCUUGUACUUGAACAUCAACAAACUUACAGGAUUUAUUGGAGAUCAUAUAUGUAAAUUGCAGCAUU